Molecule: ribosomal RNA, 465 nt
Filed under: Vreelandella stevensii
Lineage: Bacteria; Pseudomonadati; Pseudomonadota; Gammaproteobacteria; Oceanospirillales; Halomonadaceae
Description: partial 16S ribosomal RNA
Rfam family: Bacterial small subunit ribosomal RNA
Source: RNAcentral
CCUACGGGUGGCAGCAGUGGGGAAUAUUGGACAAUGGGGGGAACCCUGAUCCAGCCAUGCCGCGUGUGUGAAGAAGGCCCUCGGGUUGUAAAGCACUUUCAGUGAGGAAGAACGCCUGGUGGUUAAUACCCAUCAGGAAAGACAUCACUCACAGAAGAAGCACCGGCUAACUCCGUGCCAGCAGCCGCGGUAAUACGGAGGGUGCGAGCGUUAAUCGGAAUUACUGGGCGUAAAGCGCGCGUAGGUGGCUUGAUAAGCCGGUUGUGAAAGCCCCGGGCUCAACCUGGGAACGGCAUCCGGACCUGUCAAGCUAGAGUGCAGGAGAGGAAGGUAGAAUUCCCGGUGUAGCGGUGAAAUGCGUAGAGAUCGGGAGGAAUACCAGUGGCGAAGGCGGCCUUCUGGACUGACACUGACACUGAGGUGCGAAAGCGUGGGUAGCAAACAGGAUUAGAUACCCCUGUAGUC